Molecule: long non-coding RNA, 1030 nt
Filed under: Equus caballus (horse)
Lineage: Eukaryota; Metazoa; Chordata; Mammalia; Perissodactyla; Equidae
Description: lncRNA (ENSECAG00000047432.1)
Source: RNAcentral
UGCCACAGUGGCUUCUAGAUGUUUACUCUCAAUUUCUCUAGUUUCGGUGUUGCAGAAUGACAACAAGCUGUUCACGGAUGGCACGGGUCCAUGGACCACAGUUUGAGUAGCCCUGGAGUAGUCCAGAACCUCACAGCCAGUGUGGUCACAGUGGGUAGUGGUGUGUGAGGUAUUGGUUCCCCCUAGUGCUCAGGGCAGCUGGGUGGGACCUGGGGCAGCCAGAGCCCCCCUGGGCCAGUUGCCUGCGGUCAUAGGGAGCUGCCUGCUUUUAUCACACUGAGUCACACAGACGUUACAACUGUCUGUGGAAAAGGUUAGGGAGCACCAUAGACUGGUGGUCCUCACACUUUGAUGAGAAAACUGAGGCUCUUGAGUCAUUUCGCUGGGAUCAGAGCUUUGGAGCUGCUGCAUGCCUAUGCAGGUUGUCUUCAAUUGCCUUUGACUUGGAACUGAUGGACCUGAUGGAGAACUUUGAGCAAAGCUGACCCACUGCAGUGAAUUAAACUGUCUCUGGUCCUAGAGGAGUUCAUGCCUGAAGCCAGAGGUCAGUCUGAGUGACUCCCAGCUCCCAAUCCUGCCUUCAGCUGACUCAGUAGUUCAAAUGGGCAGAAACUUCUGUUUCUUCUUUUUGCCCUGAUGAUCGUAGUUGAAAAGUACUGUGGGUGUGGUAGAAAGAGUCAGGAUUUGGUGAAAGGAUGUCUGAGUUAAAACUCUUGCUAUGGUUAUUAGUAGCAGGAUUUCUCCCCAGUCUCUGAAGCUGCUGGAGUUUCAUUUUCCUAGUUUGUAAACCAAGUGACUUCAUCUGUGUAGUCACCUGUCUGGGGGGUGGUGAUGGGCCACCGGGCUGUCAGCUCCACAAGGACAGGACACAUGGUUACCAUUCAAUACACUAUCUGUUAAAUGAAUGAAUCUAGUGCACGGACGGCUGUUUCAGUGCAUCUGUGCCAUCUCAAAUGCUGACGGGUGCUCGCAGCCUCGUGCUGUUUGAUAGAGCGGUGUCUCAGACUUUCGUGCACUCAGUAAUAACCUG